Zeugodacus cucurbitae (melon fly) is the source of this 2110-nucleotide long non-coding RNA. RefSeq lists it as uncharacterized. The transcript has 4 exons. Lineage: Eukaryota; Metazoa; Arthropoda; Insecta; Diptera; Tephritidae. The record is from RefSeq and is a predicted model, not a curated record.
GGUUAAAUGAAUAUAACUGCAGAAAAUGGGCUCGGAAGGCAAAUCGACCUGGAACGCACAUCUGGUGCGUAAAUGCAAAACUAAAAGGAGAAGCAGAACAAGGAUUAUGCCACUUUAGGCAGAUGGAAUAUCCUUUUUUCUUUUUAUUAUCCUUUUCAGACAUUUAAAAACUUCGGUGGAACUUCUAAAGAUUAAGGUGGAUACCAGAGACCUGCAGAAGUGCACCGCCACUCAAAAUACACCGCGUGCUUACUCGCAUAUUUCUCAUACUUGUGUAUCAAAAACACUUAGCCAAAUAUGUCGCGGUGGUUUUAACACUCACAGAAUUUUUCCACUUAGCUCAAAGCGGUUAAAAAAAUACUUAACUCUCUUCUGCUUAUUCAUGUUAUUACUUAAGCUGAGCGACAACACAAAAAAAGCGGUUUGAGUAAAUGACAUUCUCAAAUUUUAGCAACUCUCUGAGUAUUGAGUUCAUUUAAUACUUUUUUGUUCUUUGCACGCUCUUUUUGUGUGUUUUGUAUGUGAUUUACACGAGUGGCAGAUCGAGCAGCCGAAGACGCUGUCAUCCAUGUGCUAAACCCCUGUAAGAAACAGCUGAAGGUCAAAUGAUCAACAAAACAAUAAUUAGUGUGUAUAUGCAUGGACAAGAAACAAUAAUCGCUUUUUUCCAAAAGCAAACUUUGACUAUAUUAAAAAGGGAUAUGAAUAUUUCAAUUUUACAUACUAAAAAUUGUUUUUAUUCUAAUUAUCGUACGAACAGUCAAAAGGUUGACAUUGUUCUUGCAGGGAAUGUUCCACACUUGCGUCAGCAUACAUAAAACAACAAAAAAGUUUGCAGUUCUUAAUAAGCAACGCACAAAAAACUGAAGCACGACAAAACAAGAAUACACGAACAACAAUACAAUAGUAAACACUCAAGUACACGCGCUACUGGUGAUGAGUGUGUCUUGCUUUUUCCUCAGUUGGUCUUGAGUAUGAUCACCACUUGUCAGUGAAAAUCAAAAAGAAGAAUGUGUAAAACAAAUACAAUUAAUAUGCAAUAGCAAGUAUACGACUGGCUCAUUAGCUUCUCCACUCAUAGUUCUUUGAGUAGAUGUUAGCUCGCAAUGCAUGUCUAUGAGUGUGAGUGGACACCGACAUCGCUUUUGAAGCAAGUUUACUCUAAGUACGGAAAUUAGGCACUCAUGCAGUUCUCUGGUGGAUACCCAUAUAGGAAGGUAGCUAUACUUGGUAUGGGUACGGGGAAUCCUACCAGCAGUUCUUUAAGGCAUACAACGGCAAUCGCUCAUCAAUCGUACAAUACAAAUUCGAAUUAGAAUUCGACACAUGAUGGAAGCAGCACUCGUUGUCCUUUGCGUUGGGAAGUAACAAAAAUCAUGCACCUAGAAAUACAACACAAAAUAUGCUACAACAACAGAGUUGGUAUUAAUAUUCCCAUGCUUAUAAUAUUGGUGGAUAAUCGCCACAUGGUGUAACAGGUAUUUCAGCAACAACAAAUAAUACAUGUGAAUUUGAAUAUGUACAAAAGUCAAAAUCGCACAACGCAACCUGCAAAUAACAAGGCAUCGGAUGAUGUUCAACAAAUUACAUCUGACUUUUGGAGUAGCAGUUUCACUACUUAUUUUCGACGUGCUAAAUACAGAGUCUCCUAUAUUGCCCUAGAUCUACACAAUGGAUAGUUAACAUAAUAACAGAGCUAGAAAAAACAAAAAACGCAGAUGUUGCUUAUCCUGCUUCUGAUUUGACUAUGCUGAACUUACUAUUUAUCAUUUUCAAUAUUAUGAUGGUUAAUUUAUAAAUUUUGAACGUAAGCAAUAGCACUAAAUUUAUUAAUCUAAAUGUGAUAUAUUGUUAAAUUAGCAUCUAUGUAUAUACAAAUGAAUGUACGAAUAUUUGUAACAAUCGUAAUAGUAGUGAAAUUUAAUUUGUAUUGUAUAACAACACAAAAAAAACCAUACUUAAAACUUUUGAGAAGUUGUAAAUUAUAAAAAUUUAAUAAUUAAUACUAACUUUAUAUGUGAAAUAAAUUUUGUCAAUGUAUAAAUGAUAGCCGUAAAAACGUUUGUAAAAAUAAAAGAUUACUUUCUACUGAAAUGCUAAUAUUUAAAAA